GAUGCCAGGGUCCCAAGGUCAUGCUUUUCAUGCUUGCAUGAAAAAGCAUGACCUUGGGACCCGUAAAACAUGAGAAAGCAGCCCGAAUGGGCGGAUUUCGAAUGUUUUAGGAUUGCGGGAGCAUGAAAUGCGGAGCAAUCCGUGGCAUC
RNAcentral lists this small RNA (149 nucleotides) under uncultured Fusicatenibacter sp. Its description in RNAcentral is "Clostridiales-1 RNA". It matches the Rfam family "Clostridiales-1 RNA". The record is from RNAcentral. Lineage: Bacteria; Bacillati; Bacillota; Clostridia; Lachnospirales; Lachnospiraceae.